CCUACGGGAGGCAGCAGUGAGGAAUAUUGGUCAAUGGGCGCGAGCCUGAACCAGCCAAGUAGCGUGAAGGAUGACUGCCCUACGGGUUGUAAACUUCUUUUAUAAAGGAAUAAAGUGAGGCACGUGUGCCUUUUUGUAUGUACUUUAUGAAUAAGGAUCGGCUACCUCCUUGCCAGCAGCCGCGGUAAUCCGGAGGAUCCGAGCGUUUUCCGGAUUUUUUGGGUUUAAAGGGAGCGUAGGUGGGUUGUUAAGUCAGUUGUGAAAGUUUGCGGCUCAACCGUAAAAUUGCAAUUGAAACUGGCAGCCUUGAGUACAGUUGAGGUAGGCGGAAUUCGUGGUGUAGCGGUGAAAUGCUUAGAUAUCACGAAGAACUCCGAUUGCGAAGGCAGCUUACUAAACUGCCACUGACACUGAUGCUCGAAAGUGUGGGUAUCAAACAGGAUUAGAUACCCCUGUAGUC
RNAcentral lists this ribosomal RNA (460 nucleotides) under uncultured bacterium. RNAcentral's name for it is "partial 16S ribosomal RNA". It matches the Rfam family "Bacterial small subunit ribosomal RNA", at positions 338 to 795 of the family's 1533-position model. The record is from RNAcentral.